This 253-nucleotide ribosomal RNA is filed under the name uncultured bacterium. Its description in RNAcentral is "partial 16S ribosomal RNA". It matches the Rfam family "Bacterial small subunit ribosomal RNA", at positions 524 to 776 of the family's 1533-position model. The record is from RNAcentral.
UACGUAGGUGGCAAGCGUUGUCCGGAAUUAUUGGGCGUAAAGCGCGCGCAGGCGGUCCUUUAAGUCUGAUGUGAAAGCCCACGGCUCAACCGUGGAGGGUCAUUGGAAACUGGGGGACUUGAGUGCAGAAGAGGAGAGUGGAAUUCCACGUGUAGCGGUGAAAUGCGUAGAUAUUGGGAGGAACACCGGUGGCGAAGGCGGCCCCCUGGACCGGUACUGACGCUGAGGCGCGAAAGCGUGGGUAGCAAACGGG